GGCUCUCUGUUUACAUAAAUAUAGGGAGUCGGGCCUGCCCAGUGAAUUUUUAAACGGCCGCGGUACUCUGACCGUGCAAAGGUAGCAUAAUCAUUUGCCUUAUAAUUGAAGGCUAGUAUGAAUGGUUUGACGAGAGCAACACUGUCUCCUUUUUAUUUUCAAGAACUUAACUUUUAGGUGAAGAGGCCUAAAUUUUAUUGAAGGACAAGAAGACCCUAUCGAGCUUAAAAGACAUUAUAGAAGUUUAUAUAUUUCUAAAUAAAUUUUCUAUUGAGCUUUUUAGUUGGGGCGACUAAGGAACAAAAAAAGCUUCUUGCUAAUAAUAGACAGUCAUGUUUAGAUCCGAUAAUAAUCGAUCAAAGAAAUUAGUUACCGUAGGGAUAACAGCAUAAUCUCUCUUGAGAGACCUAAUCGAAAGAGGGGGUUGUGACCUCGAUGUUGGACUAGAAUAUCCUAAAGAUGCAGAAGUCUUUGAAAGGUCGGUCUGUUCGACCGUUAAAAUUCU
RNAcentral lists this ribosomal RNA (505 nucleotides) under Juga plicifera. RNAcentral describes it as "partial large subunit ribosomal RNA". It matches the Rfam family "Bacterial large subunit ribosomal RNA", at positions 1817 to 2597 of the family's 2925-position model. The record is from RNAcentral. Lineage: Eukaryota; Metazoa; Mollusca; Gastropoda; Semisulcospiridae.